GACGAACGCUGGCGGCGUGCUUAACACAUGCAAGUCGAACGGUGAAGCGAGUGCUUGCACUCGUGGAUCAGUGGCGAACGGGUGAGUAACACGUGAGUAACCUGCCCAUCACUCUGGGAUAAGCACUGGAAACGGUGUCUAAUACUGGAUACGACCAACCCUUGCAUGGGGUGUUGGUGGAAAGAUUUAUCGGUGAUGGAUGGACUCGCGGCCUAUCAGCUUGUUGGCGGGGUAAUGGCCCACCAAGGCGACGACGGGUAGCCGGCCUGAGAGGGUGACCGGCCACACUGGGACUGAGACACGGCCCAGACGCCUACGGGAGGCAGCAGUGGGGAAUAUUGCACAAUGGGCGAAAGCCUGAUGCAGCGACGCCGCGUGAGGGAUGACGGCCUUCGGGUUGUAAACCUCUUUCAGCAGGGAAGAAGCGAAAGUGACGGUACCUGCAGAAGAAGCACCGGCUAACUACGUG
This 469-nucleotide ribosomal RNA is filed under the name uncultured bacterium. RNAcentral's name for it is "partial 16S ribosomal RNA". It matches the Rfam family "Bacterial small subunit ribosomal RNA", at positions 28 to 507 of the family's 1533-position model. The record is from RNAcentral.